UGGGGAAUAUUGCACAAUGGGCGCAAGCCUGAUGCAGCCAUGCCGCGUGUAUGAAGAAGGCCUUCGGGUUGUAAAGUACUUUCAGCGGGGAGGAAGGGAGUAAAGUUAAUACCUUUGCUCAUUGACGUUACCCGCAGAAGAAGCACCGGCUAACUCCGUGCCAGCAGCCGCGGUAAUACGGAGGGUGCAAGCGUUAAUCGGAAUUACUGGGCGUAAAGCGCACGCAGGCGGUUUGUUAAGUCAGAUGUGAAAUCCCCGGGCUCAACCUGGGAACUGCAUCUGAUACUGGCAAGCUUGAGUUUCGUAGAGGGGGGUAGAAUUCCAGGUGUAGCGGUGAAAUGCGUAGAGAUCUGGAGGAAUACCGGUGGCGAAGGCGGCCCCCUGGACGAAGACUGACGCUCAGGUGCGAAAGCGUGGGGAGCAAACAGG
This 429-nucleotide ribosomal RNA is filed under the name Chloroflexota bacterium. RNAcentral's name for it is "Chloroflexi bacterium partial 16S ribosomal RNA". It matches the Rfam family "Bacterial small subunit ribosomal RNA", at positions 355 to 776 of the family's 1533-position model. Lineage: Bacteria; Bacillati; Chloroflexota. The record is from RNAcentral. RNAcentral also lists the same sequence under 1 other name.